This 380-nucleotide ribosomal RNA is filed under the name uncultured eukaryote. RNAcentral describes it as "partial 18S ribosomal RNA". It matches the Rfam family "Eukaryotic small subunit ribosomal RNA", at positions 592 to 975 of the family's 1831-position model. The record is from RNAcentral.
CAAUAGCGUAUAUUAAAGCUGUUGCGGUUAAAAAGCUCGUAGUUGGAUUUCUGUCAAGGACAACUGGUCCGCCCUCCGGGUGAGCACAUAGUUUGGUCUUGGCAUCUUGCUGGAAACUGUUGCUGCACUUGGCUGUGUGGCGCAGUGUCCAGCACUUUCACUUUGAGGAAAUUGGAGUGUUUCAAGCAGGCACAUGCCUUUGGACACAGUAGCAUGGAAUAAUUAGAUUGGGCUUUUGCUCCAAUUUGUCGGUUUCUGGAGCUGAGGUGAGAAUUAAUGGGGAUUGUUGGGGGCAUCCGAAUUUAGCUGUCAGAGGUGAAAUUCUUGGAUCUGCUAAAGACGGACAACUGCGAAAGCGUUUGCCCAGGAUGUUUNCAUUG